GGAGUGCCUAGUGAGCGGGAAAAGUUUUCCCCUACAGGCUGAGACCGUUAAUUCGGGAUCCGCGGAACCUGAUCGGGUUAAUACCCGCGAAGGGAACAAGAGUAAUCU
RNAcentral lists this non-coding RNA (108 nucleotides) under Hafnia paralvei. The record is from RNAcentral. Lineage: Bacteria; Pseudomonadati; Pseudomonadota; Gammaproteobacteria; Enterobacterales; Hafniaceae.